Molecule: ribosomal RNA, 513 nt
Filed under: Naranjakotta watheroo
Lineage: Eukaryota; Metazoa; Arthropoda; Insecta; Hemiptera; Miridae
Description: partial 16S ribosomal RNA
Source: RNAcentral
AAACAAGUCCUUUUGGUUAAAUAAAAGGUUUGACCUUCCCUAUGAUUUUUAUUUAAWGGCUGCAGUAUUUUGACUGUACAAAGGKAGCAUAAUCAUUUGUCUUUUAAUUGAAGUCUGGAAUGAAUGGUUUGAUGAAAAAUAUACUUUCUUUAUUUUAUAUAAAAAAUUUAAUUUUUUAGUCAAAAAGCUAAAAUUUUUUUAUAGGACGAGAAGACCCUAUAGAACUUUAUUUUUAUUAAUUUUGUAAUUAGAUUAGGAAAUGUCUUGAUACAUGAUUGAGAAAAUUUUGUUGGGGUGACAGAAAAAAUUAAAUAACUUUUUCUUAUUUAAUCAUUAUUAGUGAAUUUUUGAUCCUUUUUUAGGGAUGGAAGAUUAAGUUACCUUAGGGAUAACAGCGUUAUUGUUUCAGAGAGUUCAUAUCGAUGAAAUAGUUUGCGACCUCGAUGUUGGAUUAUAAUAAGAUGUAGGAGUAGAAUAUUAUGUUCUAGGUCGGUUCAACCUUUAAAUUUUUAC